Molecule: ribosomal RNA, 866 nt
Filed under: uncultured bacterium
Lineage: Bacteria
Description: bacterial SSU rRNA
Rfam family: Bacterial small subunit ribosomal RNA
Source: RNAcentral
GGCUUAGAGUUUGAUCAUGGCUCAGGAUGAACGCUGGCGGCGUGCCUAACACAUGCAAGUCGAACGAAGCGGUUUUGGUGAAGUUUUCGGAUGGAACCGGAACUGACUGAGAGGCGGACGGGUGAGUAACGCGUGGGUAACCUGCCUCAUACAGGGGGAUAACAGUUAGAAAUGACUGCUAAUACCGCAUAAGCGCACGGGACCGCAUGGUUUUGUGUGAAAAGCCGAGACGGUAUGAGAUGGACCCGCGUCUGAUUAGCUGGUUGGUGGGGUAACUGCCCACCAAGGCGACGAUCAGUAGCCGACCUGAGAGGGUGACCGGCCACAUUGGGACUGAGACACGGCCCAAACUCCUACGGGAGGCAGCAGUGGGGGAUAUUGCACAAUGGGGGAAACCCUGAUGCAGCGACGCCGCGUGAGUGAAGAAGUAUUUCGGUAUGUAAAGCUCUAUCAGCAGGGAAGAGAAUGACGGUACCUGAGUAAGAAGCCCCGGCUAACUACGUGCCAGCAGCCGCGGUAAUACGUAGGGGGCAAGCGUUAUCCGGAUUUACUGGGUGUAAAGGGAGCGUAGACGGCAAAGCAAGUCUGAAGUGAAAGCCCGGGGCUCAACCCCGGGACUGCUUUGGAAACUGUUCUGCUAGAGUGCUGGAGAGGUAAGCGGAAUUCCUAGUGUAGCGGUGAAAUGCGUAGAUAUUAGGAGGAACACCAGUGGCGAGGGCGGCUUACUGGACAGUAACUGACGUUGAGGCUCGAAAGCGUGGGAGCAAACAGGAUUAGAUACCCUGGUAGACCACGCGUAAACCAUGAAUACUAGUGUUGGUGGGCAAGGCCCAUCCGUGCCGUCGCAACGCAGUAAGUAUCCACCU